Molecule: long non-coding RNA, 624 nt
Filed under: Setaria viridis
Lineage: Eukaryota; Viridiplantae; Streptophyta; Magnoliopsida; Poales; Poaceae
Description: long non-coding RNA (SVIR_LNC008276)
Source: RNAcentral
AGCCUUCUCCUUUUCCUUCUCAACUUCAUAUUUGGGCUUCCAGGUCUUCUCUAGGAUGGAGGUGGCAACCUUCUCAUCAUCAGCAAUCAAAAUAUUGUCAAACAGGAUGCCAUCCUGCAUCGUCCAGAUCUCAAUUCCAAUAGCAGCAAUUGGAUCAAAGUCAGGCUUGUCGAGCUCAAAGUACUCAGGGUUGGGGAUCUCCUGAGGCUUCCAGAUUCCCUUGUAGUUGGGAUUGUCAAUCAGGGGUGCAUGCCACUUGCCCUUGUAAGCAGGGUUCUGCUUCAUUGGCCUCUUCCACUCGCCACACCCAGGUGCCACUUCGCACUUGGGGUUGUCAAUCUUUGGUGCCUCCCAUUCACCAUCCUCCUCAUCAUCCCAGUCCUCAGGCUUGGCUGCCUCUGGAUCAUCAAUUUCCUCAGGCUCAUCAUCCAGCCAUCCCUCAGGCUUGGUGGCUUCCUCAUCCUCAAUUUCCAUUGGAGCAUCCUCAUCCCAGUCAUCAGGCUUCACUGCAUCUGGAUCAGGAAUUUUAGCUCUCUCAUCCCAGUCCUCUGGCUUCUUGUCAUCAGGGUCAGGAAUGGUCUUGGGUGGGAUAAUAGCUGGCUCAAAAUCAUCAGCAGACAGGAA